CGUAGGUGGUUAUUUAAGUGAGAUGUGAAAGCCCCGGGCUCAACCUGGGAACUGCAUCUUAUACUGGGUAACUGGAGUACAUGAGAGGGUAGUGGAAUUUCCGGUGUAGCGGUGAAAUGCGUAGAUAUCGGAAGGAACACCAGUGGCGGAGGCGGCUACCUGGCAUGAUACUGACACUGAGGCGCGAGAGCGUGGGAGCAAACA
RNAcentral lists this ribosomal RNA (204 nucleotides) under uncultured bacterium. RNAcentral's name for it is "partial 16S ribosomal RNA". It matches the Rfam family "Bacterial small subunit ribosomal RNA", at positions 570 to 774 of the family's 1533-position model. The record is from RNAcentral.